Molecule: ribosomal RNA, 320 nt
Filed under: uncultured Lachnospiraceae bacterium
Lineage: Bacteria; Bacillati; Bacillota; Clostridia; Lachnospirales; Lachnospiraceae
Description: partial 16S ribosomal RNA
Source: RNAcentral
GGAGUAUGGGCCGUGUCUCAGUCCCAUUGUGGCUGAUCAUCCUCUCAAACCAGCUACUGAUCGUCGCCUUGGUGGUCCAUUACACCGCCAACUGGCUAAUCAGACGCGGAUCCAUCUCACACCGAUAAAUCUUUUACCCCUGCACCAUGCGGUGCUGUGGUCUUAUGCGGUAUUACCAGCCGUUUCCAGCUGCUAUCCCCCAGUGUGAGGCAGGUUAUCCACGCGUUACUCACCCGUCCGCCACUAAGUUAAGUUCCAUCCGAAAAUUUCCCUUAACCCCGUUCGACUUGCAUGUGUUAGGCACGCCGCCAGCGUUCAUC